RNAcentral lists this ribosomal RNA (357 nucleotides) under uncultured Dentiscutataceae. RNAcentral's name for it is "SSU rRNA". It matches the Rfam family "Eukaryotic small subunit ribosomal RNA", at positions 569 to 929 of the family's 1831-position model. The record is from RNAcentral. Lineage: Eukaryota; Fungi; Glomeromycota; Glomeromycetes; Diversisporales; Gigasporaceae.
AGCAGCCGCGGUAAUUCCAGCUCCAAUAGCGUAUAUUAAAGUUGUUGCAGUUAAAAAGCUCGUAGUUGAAUUUCGGGGUUCCACCGUUGGUCGAGCUAUUGUUUGUACUGGCGUGUGGAAUUUCUACCUUCUGGGGAACUAUCAUGUUAUUAAUUUAGCGUGGUAGGAAACCAGGACCUUUACCUUGAAAAAAUUAGAGUGUUUAAAGCAGGCAUUUUGCUUGAAUACAUUAGCAUGGAAUAAUAAAAUAGGACGGCAUGAUUCUAUUUUGUUGGUUUCUAGGAUCACCGUAAUGAUUAAUAGGGAUAGUUGGGGGCAUUAGUAUUCAAUUGUCAGAGGUGAAAUUCUUGGAUUUAG